GCAACCCUUGCCAUUAGUUGCUCGAAAGGGCACUCUAAUGGGACUGCCGGUGACAAACCGGAGGAAGGUGGGGAUGACGUCAAGUCCUCAUGGCCCUUAUAGGUGGGGCUACACACGUCAUACAAUGGCUGGUACAGAGGGUUGCCAACCCGCGAGGGGGAGCUAAUCCCAUAAAGCCAGUCGUAGUCCGGAUCGCAGUCUGCAACUCGACUGCGUGAAGUCGGAAUCGCUAGUAAUCGCGGAUCAGAAUGUCGCGGUGAAUACGUUCCCGGGUCUU
This 277-nucleotide ribosomal RNA is filed under the name uncultured Acidovorax sp. Its description in RNAcentral is "partial 16S ribosomal RNA". It matches the Rfam family "Bacterial small subunit ribosomal RNA", at positions 1098 to 1382 of the family's 1533-position model. The record is from RNAcentral. Lineage: Bacteria; Pseudomonadati; Pseudomonadota; Betaproteobacteria; Burkholderiales; Comamonadaceae.